UUCCAGACUCCUACGGGAGGCAGCAGUGAGGAAUAUUGGUCAAUGGGCGUAAGCCUGAACCAGCCAAGUCGCGUGAGGGAUGAAGGAUCUAUGGUUCGUAAACCUCUUUUAUAAGGGAAUAAAGUGCGGGACGUGUCCUGUUUUGUAUGUACCUUAUGAAUAAGGAUCGGCUAACUCCGUGCCAGCAGCCGCGGUAAUACGGAGGAUCCGAGCGUUAUCCGGAUUUAUUGGGUUUAAAGGGUGCGUAGGCGGCCUUUUAAGUCAGCGGUGAAAGUCUGUGGCUCAACCAUAGAAUUGCCGUUGAAACUGGGGGGCUUGAGUAUGUUUGAGGCAGGCGGAAUGCGUGGUGUGGCGGUGAAAUGCAUAGAUAUCACGCAGAACGCCGAUUGCGAAGGCAGCUUACCGGCGCUCAACUGACGCUGAGGCACGAAAGUGCGGGUAUCGAACAGGAUUAGAUACCCUCGUA
This 466-nucleotide ribosomal RNA is filed under the name uncultured bacterium. RNAcentral describes it as "bacterial SSU rRNA". It matches the Rfam family "Bacterial small subunit ribosomal RNA", at positions 329 to 792 of the family's 1533-position model. The record is from RNAcentral.